RNAcentral lists this unclassified non-coding RNA (476 nucleotides) under Acacia neurophylla. RNAcentral's name for it is "partial contains external transcribed spacer and 18S ribosomal RNA". The stretch from base 410 to 476 matches the Rfam family "Eukaryotic small subunit ribosomal RNA", at positions 1 to 67 of the family's 1831-position model. Lineage: Eukaryota; Viridiplantae; Streptophyta; Magnoliopsida; Fabales; Fabaceae. The record is from RNAcentral.
UUUGGGGCGUGUGAGUGGUGUUUGGAUCGUCCCUGCCGGCUGGCUCCGUGCCCGUCCACCGAACGGCCGGCAGGCGGUCCGCGUCGGUCACGCUGGGUGGUAUGGUUCCCCAGAGGUCGGUUCUUGUGCUGCCUACCCCUUCAGGGGAAGCGGGCCACUUGAUGUAAGCCUCCAUCCGGCGCCCUCCAACGGGCGCAGGAGGACAACGUAGCACCCCCCGCGUUCCACCGAGCCUCCGUCGGUCGCGUGGCGCGCGGGGACGUGCGAUGCUCUCGGACCCAGCGAACGCCGUGGGCGAGGACUCACGUCCCAGUCCCGAUAGAAGCUCCGAUAUAAUGCAUGACGGCCGCUCCCGUCCCCCGACCGCCCCGGCGGCGCGGGGGCGAGGCGCGGCGUCGCGGAGGAAUGCUACCUGGUUGAUCCUGCCAGUAGUCAUAUGCUUGUCUCAAAGAUUAAGCCAUGCAUGUGUAAGUAAA